GUGAACGCUUAGUCGUUCACGAUAUCUUCGCUAGUGCGCUGCUUGCCGUCAUCAGUAACCUUAGCCUGGCUCGCUCGCUACUGGCUGGGUCUAAGGACUGUUAUAUAAUCGCACUAUUUUGUAGUGGAUUUCCGUUUCAUUUGGUCAAGUCAACCAGUGCGACACGGAUAGUGCCUUCGGAACGGUAACUGCCGGUUACUAGCUAAUUCACCAUGGAGGACGGCCAUAGCAAGUCCGUCGAAGAAGUGGUCAGCCACUUCCGAGUGGAUCCAGAACGGGGUCUUUCUCUCGACCAAAUCAAGGAAUACCAGAAGAAGUAUGGACCUAAUGAACUCCCAGCUGAAGAGGGAAAAACAAUCUGGCAAUUAGUUCUGGAACAGUUUGAUGAUCUGUUAGUUAAGAUUCUGCUGCUUGCUGCUAUCAUUUCCUUUGUCCUGGCCCUUUUUGAAGAGCAUGAAGGUGUUGAAGCCUUUGUGGAACCCCUGGUCAUUUUGCUCAUUCUGAUCGCCAACGCUUGCGUCGGUGUGUGGCAGGAACGUAAUGCCGAAUCCGCCAUCGAAGCCCUGAAGGAGUACGAGCCCGAGAUGGGCAAGGUCGUCCGCGGCGACAAGUCCGGCGUCCAGAAGGUGCGCGCCAAGGAGAUCGUGCCCGGUGACGUCGUUGAGGUGUCCGUCGGUGACAAGAUCCCCGCCGAUAUCCGUCUGAUCAAGAUCUACUCCACCACCAUCCGUAUCGAUCAGUCCAUCCUGACUGGUGAGUCCGUGUCCGUGAUCAAGCACACCGACGCCAUCCCGGAUCCCCGCGCCGUCAACCAGGACAAGAAGAACAUCCUGUUCUCCGGUACCAACGUUGCCGCCGGUAAGGCCCGUGGUGUUGUCAUCGGAACCGGUCUGAACACCGCCAUCGGUAAGAUCCGUACCGAGAUGUCGGAAACCGAGGAAAUCAAGACCCCACUGCAGCAGAAGCUCGAUGAGUUCGGUGAGCAGCUGUCCAAGGUUAUCUCCCUGAUCUGUAUUGCCGUCUGGGCCAUCAACAUUGGUCACUUCAACGAUCCAGCUCACGGUGGCUCGUGGAUCAAGGGUGCCGUCUACUAUUUCAAGAUCGCCGUCGCUCUGGCUGUCGCUGCCAUCCCUGAAGGUCUCCCCGCUGUCAUCACCACUUGUUUGGCUUUGGGUACCCGCCGUAUGGCCAAGAAGAACGCCAUUGUCCGCUCCCUGCCAUCCGUCGAAACCCUGGGUUGUACCUCGGUUAUCUGCUCUGAUAAGACUGGUACGCUGACCACCAACCAGAUGUCCGUCUCGCGUAUGUUCGUCUUCGAGAAGGUUGAAGGCAAUGACAGCAGCUUCACUGAAUUUGAAAUCUCCGGAUCGACUUACGAACCCAUUGGUGAUCUGACCCUGAAGGGACAGAGGGUUAAGGCCGCUGACUACGAAGUCCUGCAGGAAUUGGGAACUAUCUGCAUCAUGUGCAAUGACUCCGCUAUUGAUUUCAACGAAGUUAAGAAGGUCUUUGAAAAGGUCGGUGAAGCCACCGAAACUGCCCUGAUCGUUCUGGCUGAGAAGAUCAACCCCUUCAACGUUACCAAGCAGGGUCUGGACCGUCGCUCGGCUGCUAUCUGCGUCCGUCAGGAAAUUGAAACCAAGUGGAAGAAGGAAUUCACCCUGGAAUUCUCUCGCGAUCGUAAAUCCAUGUCCAGCUACUGUACCCCACUCAAGUCCUCCAAGCUUGGAACCGGACCAAAACUGUUCUGCAAGGGUGCCCCAGAAGGUGUCCUGGAUCGUUGUACUCAUGCCCGUGUCGGAACCACCAAGGUGCCACUGACCUCGACUCUGAAGAACCGCAUUUUGGACCUGACCCGUCAAUAUGGUACCGGUCGCGAUACCCUCCGUUGCUUGGCCCUGGCCACCGCUGAUAACCCAAUGAAGCCAGAUGAUAUGGAUCUGAACGAUUCGACCAAGUUCUACACUUAUGAAGUCAACCUAACCUUCGUCGGUGUUGUUGGUAUGUUGGAUCCCCCACGUAAGGAAGUCUUCGACUCGAUUGUUCGUUGCCGUGCCGCUGGUAUUCGCGUUAUUGUCAUCACUGGUGACAACAAGGCUACUGCUGAAGCUAUCUGCCGUCGUAUUGGCGUGUUCACCGAAGAGGAAGACACCACCGGCAAAUCAUACUCUGGACGUGAAUUCGAUGAUCUGCCAGUCAGCGAACAGCGCGAAGCUUGCGCCCGUGCCCGUCUGUUCUCCCGUGUCGAACCCGCCCACAAGUCCAAGAUCGUCGAGUACCUGCAAAGCAUGAACGAAAUCUCCGCUAUGACUGGUGAUGGUGUCAACGACGCCCCCGCCCUGAAGAAGGCCGAAAUCGGUAUUGCCAUGGGUUCCGGUACCGCCGUCGCCAAGUCCGCCUCCGAGAUGGUGUUGGCUGACGAUAACUUCUCCUCCAUUGUCGCCGCCGUCGAGGAAGGCCGUGCCAUCUACAACAACAUGAAGCAGUUCAUCCGUUAUCUGAUUUCCUCCAACAUCGGUGAGGUCGUGUCCAUCUUCUUGACUGCUGCCCUUGGUCUGCCAGAGGCUCUGAUCCCCGUCCAGCUGCUGUGGGUCAACUUGGUUACUGACGGUCUGCCAGCUACCGCCCUCGGCUUCAACCCACCAGAUUUGGACAUCAUGGACAAACCACCACGCAAGGCUGAUGAAGGUCUGAUCUCCGGCUGGCUGUUCUUCCGUUACAUGGCUAUUGGUGGUUACGUCGGUGCCGCUACCGUCGGUGGUGCUGCCUGGUGGUUCAUGUUCUCCGAUCACGGCCCACAGCUGACCUACUGGCAGCUGACUCACCAUCUGUCCUGCAUCGGUGGUGGAGACGAAUUCAAGGGACUGGACUGCAAGAUCUUCGGUGAUCCUCAUCCGAUGACCAUGGCCCUGUCUGUUCUGGUCACCAUUGAGAUGUUGAACGCCAUGAACAGCUUGUCUGAGAACCAGUCUCUGGUCACCAUGCCCCCAUGGUCGAACAUGUGGCUCAUUGGAUCCAUGUGCCUCUCGUUCGCCCUGCACUUCGUCAUCCUGUAUGUCGAUGUCCUUUCCACCGUGUUCCAGGUUACCCCGCUGAACGCAGACGAAUGGCUCACUGUGAUGAAGUUCUCGCUGCCAGUAGUGUUGCUCGAUGAAAUCCUCAAGUUUGUCGCCAGAAGGAUCUCCGACGCCAACCCCGAUUUCCAUUAAGUCACCAAGAAAACAGCUUCAUCAGCUUCCUAUUGUUUCAUCAGUUCGACUGUUCAUCACUGAAUAAAAACAUCCAGAACCAAAUAAAAUCACAGCCAUCCAAGAACCCCGCGCUCAAUCGACAAUGUCUAUGAUGCAUGCUUCAACAAACCGAACACCACCAUCCUAUUACUUCCUGUGCCAAGGCUACCCCCUUUCUGUUGUGUGCGUCCCCCUCUAUUAUGCCCGAUGUUUUAACAACAAGACCCCAAAACGAUUCAUCGGGUGCACUAGAAGGAUCUAGGAACCGGCCAUCGAAGCGCGGGGUCACGUGGCGAUCGCGAGGACUUGACAGCGAUCGUUUUCUGUUUCCAUCGGAACCAAUGCUCAACAACUGAACGCAGGGAAACAGGUCAACGCGUACGCUGUCCUGGAGCAAAGAUCUAACCAACCUCGGGAAAAAAGCCCAACUCUUUCCUUUUAUUUGUGUCCCACAUCAACUUCAUCUAUCACGUUCUGUGUUAUUGUUGUUGUUGUUCCUUCACCUACUACGAAGAAUCAUCUGAUGAACACAGACAACCCUACAUCAACUUUACCGUUUACUUUCAACCCUACAAACUGCUUGCCAUCAUACAGCGACAAUUUAGAAUUAUGUUAGAAAGUUUUAAGAGUGAUAUACUUCUAAGCAGAUGAAGGACAAUCUAAGCAAACAAGCGAAGUUAUUAAGUCCUGGAACUAAGAAGCUCUAGUGGCUUUUAUAACAACUGCUUGUACUCGACAAAAUCGUGUUUCUUUCAGCAAACAAGAAAUCAACGUAAAAAUGCAAUAAUAAAUGAAUAAAAAAAAGUCGAAACAAUAAAACCAACAAAAAACUUAACCUACAGCAUCGUUAUUCAUUGAAUCUAGGAGGGAGGCGUACAUCUGUUUCUCUCACUAGAAAGUAUUAAAGCUGAAUACCAAAUACAAAAAAAAUGUCUGGUUUCCAACAACUAAUCAUGAAAUGAGUUGACUUUCUUUUUCUAAUUUUUACUGAAAGUUAAAUUUGAAUUAUCUCCACCAAAGGGAAAAAAACAGCAAUAUAUUAAAGAGCGUGUUCCAAGCAAAAAUAUUUAAAAUGUUUUGCCGAAGUUUUCUUAACGUCGUAGAUCAGAACCAGACCAUUUGAAGUUAUUAUCCUUGGGGUAGAGUAGAACAACAGCGACUUUUACUUUUUCUAGUGAAAAUGAACAAUUGAAGACAUUUUUUCUCUCAUUUAUUAACGCUUAAGUUUCAUUUCCUCGAACUGUAUCUUCUGUCUUUUUAGUUAUUCUUUUGUUCAGUCCUUUGAAUAUUUGUUACCUUGUAUCGAUUUAGUUAAUUUAUUUUUUUUAUAAAAUACGAGACCAUGUAAAUAAGUUAAUUAAAUAAAAUAAACAAAGGUUGAAAAGAGAGACAUCGUCUUCUUGUUGAGUUGUAGUCGUCGAAAUUACACUUAAAAAGUUAGAUAUUUUACAAAAUGAAUAAACUUAAUUUAACAAAAGUAAAAACAUUGUGUGACGUUGACCGCCAUCUUUAAUUUUAUGUCAUUUCAUCUUUGUUUAAAUAAAAAAGUAUAAAACAAGUUAAAGUUUCUCGAAAAGAAAACAAAUAAAAAUCGUUAAAAAUA
Molecule: RNA transcript, 4833 nt
Organism: Armigeres subalbatus
Lineage: Eukaryota; Metazoa; Arthropoda; Insecta; Diptera; Culicidae
Gene: SERCA
Gene name: calcium-transporting ATPase sarcoplasmic/endoplasmic reticulum type
Exons: 12
Source: RefSeq, a predicted model, not a curated record